Molecule: long non-coding RNA, 534 nt
Filed under: Lathyrus oleraceus (garden pea)
Lineage: Eukaryota; Viridiplantae; Streptophyta; Magnoliopsida; Fabales; Fabaceae
Description: Pisum sativum (pea) long non-coding RNA (PSAT_LNC003350)
Source: RNAcentral
AGAGAGAGAGAGAGAGAGAGAGAGAGCUUUGGUGAGGGUGAGGGAAUAGAUUGCAGAGAGAAUUCACACAGAUUCAUAAGGUUCCAAGGGUGCCGAAAAUGAGAGAGGUGAGUUUCUUAAAUAGAGCUUAGGUUUGGGAAUUUGGUAGCUUUGGAUUCAGGUUUGGAGUUAGUUAGAGAAGGCAUGGAAUUAGUUGGUGUUGACUCACUGAGUUAAUUGAGAACUCAGCUAGUUAGUGAAUAAGAACUCAGUUAGUUAGGUUGGUUUUAAUUGAUUAAUGACUUAAUGAAAUGAAUUUUAACUGCCUGUAGUAGGUUAGGCUUAGGUUACAUUCAUGUUGAAAUGAUCUUGGUGACCUGCUAUCCAUGUUGUAGGUGGAACUCAUGUGACAUUGGUUUGGCUUGAAAUGAUGUGUAAUGGCUUUGAUACUCCAACUGGCUAUAGCAGGUAACAUACUAAAUUGGAAUUGGGAGAUCAGGUCCUUAGAUCAAAAGUAACCUCCUGAACUGGUAAUUGUUAAAUGCAAGUGUAUUU